CCUACGGGGGGCUGCAGUGGGGAAUAUUGGACAAUGGGGGCAACCCUGAUCCAGCCAUGCCGCAUGUGUGAAGAAGGCCCUCGGGUUGUAAAGCACUUUCAGUGAGGAAGAACGCCUGGUGGUUAAUACCCAUCAGGAAAGACAUCACUCACAGAAGAAGCACCGGCUAACUCCGUGCCAGCAGCCGCGGUAAUACGGAGGGUGCGAGCGUUAAUCGGAAUUACUGGGCGUAAAGCGCGCGUAGGUGGCUUGAUAAGCCGGUUGUGAAAGCCCCGGGCUCAACCUGGGAACGGCAUCCGGAACUGUCAAGCUAGAGUGCAGGAGAGGAAGGUAGAAUUCCCGGUGUAGCGGUGAAAUGCGUAGAGAUCGGGAGGAAUACCAGUGGCGAAGGCGGCCUUCUGGACUGACACUGACACUGAGGUGCGAAAGCGUGGGUAGCAAACAGGAUUAGAUACCCCAGUAGUC
Molecule: ribosomal RNA, 465 nt
Filed under: Vreelandella stevensii
Lineage: Bacteria; Pseudomonadati; Pseudomonadota; Gammaproteobacteria; Oceanospirillales; Halomonadaceae
Description: partial 16S ribosomal RNA
Rfam family: Bacterial small subunit ribosomal RNA
Source: RNAcentral